GCUUCCUUCGGGAAGUGGAUUAGCGGCGGACGGGUGAGUAACACGUGGGUAACCUGCCUCAAAGUGGGGGAUAGCCUUCCGAAAGGAAGAUUAAUACCGCAUAACAUGAGAGAAUCGCAUGAUUUUUUUAUCAAAGAUUUAUUGCUUUGAGAUGGACCCGCGGCGCAUUAGCUAGUUGGUAAGGUAACGGCUUACCAAGGCAACGAUGCGUAGCCGACCUGAGAGGGUGAUCGGCCACAUUGGAACUGAGACACGGUCCAGACUCCUACGGGAGGCAGCAGUGGGGAAUAUUGCGCAAUGGGGGAAACCCUGACGCAGCAACGCCGCGUGGGUGAUGAAGGUCUUCGGAUUGUAAAGCCCUGUUUUCUGGGACGAUAAUGACGGUACCAGAGGAGGAAGCCACGGCUAACUACGUGCCAGCAGCCGCGGUAAUACGUAGGUGGCGAGCGUUGUCCGGAUUUACUGGGCGUAAAGGGUGCGUAGGCGGAUGUUUAAGUGGGAUGUGAAAUCCCCGGGCUUAACCUGGGGGCUGCAUUCCAAACUGGAUAUCUAGAGUGCAGGAGAGGAAAGCGGAAUUCCUAGUGUAGCGGUGAAAUGCGUAGAGAUUAGGAAGAACACCAGUGGCGAAGGCGGCUUUCUGGACUGUAACUGACGCUGAGGCACGA
This 665-nucleotide ribosomal RNA is filed under the name bacterium enrichment culture. Its description in RNAcentral is "bacterial SSU rRNA". It matches the Rfam family "Bacterial small subunit ribosomal RNA", at positions 73 to 756 of the family's 1533-position model. The record is from RNAcentral.